This 402-nucleotide ribosomal RNA is filed under the name uncultured Desulfobulbus sp. RNAcentral's name for it is "bacterial SSU rRNA". It matches the Rfam family "Bacterial small subunit ribosomal RNA", at positions 984 to 1382 of the family's 1533-position model. The record is from RNAcentral. Lineage: Bacteria; Pseudomonadati; Thermodesulfobacteriota; Desulfobulbia; Desulfobulbales; Desulfobulbaceae.
ACAUCCCGGAGACCCUUAGGAAACUAGGGGUGCUUCCAUCUGGAGAAUCUGGAGACAGGUGCUGCAUGGCUGUCGUCAGCUCGUGUCGUGAGAUGUUGGGUUAAGUCCCGCAACGAGCGCAACCCUUGCCUUUAGUUGCCAGCAGUUCGGCUGGGCACUCUAAAGGGACUGCCGGUGUUAAACCGGAGGAAGGUGGGGAUGACGUCAAGUCCUCAUGGCCUUUAUGACCAGGGCUACACACGUACUACAAUGGCCGAUACAAAGGGCAGCGACACUGCGAGGUGAAGCCAAUCCCGUAAAAUCGGUCUCAGUCCGGAUUGGAGUCUGCAACUCGACUCCAUGAAGUUGGAAUCGCUAGUAAUCGUGGAUCAGCAUGCCACGGUGAAUACGUUCCCGGGCCUU